Molecule: ribosomal RNA, 229 nt
Filed under: uncultured bacterium
Lineage: Bacteria
Description: partial 16S ribosomal RNA
Rfam family: Bacterial small subunit ribosomal RNA
Source: RNAcentral
UCCGUAGGUGGAUCAAUCAGUCAGAGGUGAAAUCCUGCAGCUUAACUGUAGAACUGCCUUUGAUACUGUUGAUCUUGAGUCAUUAUGAAGUGGUUAGAAUGUGUAGUGUAGCGGUGAAAUGCAUAGAUAUUACACAGAAUACCGAUUGAGAAGGCAGAUCACUAAUAAUGUACUGACACUGAGGGACGAAAGCGUGGGGAGCGAACAGGAUUAGAUACCCUGGUAGUUC